AACAGGACCUUGGAUCCUAGGGGAACCCCAACCCUUGCUGAAAAGUUGGAAAUAAUUUUGCUUGCAUAAGCCCCACAAGACUGAUGGGCUGGCAGGUAACUGCUCUCCAAUGGUGUAACACCUGGGAAAGGAGAACCACAGGUGCUGGACCCCAGGCAGAGCUUCUGGGGAAAUUGCAGUGAGGCGCAGAAGGACUGCAAGCUUAAACGCCGGUCUGGAGUGAGAGACAUGGGUCUCCGCCUCAGAAAGGACACCAGAAAGGAAGGAAGCCAGAAACCUCAAGUGGGUGUCCUCGAGGAAGACUUGGGGAGGGAAGGUGCAGUUACCCCUGAAACGGUGGCAGGGGUAACACUUGCCCACCUCGCAGGACUGUUGUGGAUCCCUCAAGCAAACCAUGAUCGAGUCGUCCUUGUCCCGCCGGCCCUUGAAGAAGGAGCAGGCCCAGCCCUGUACAAGAAGCCGCAUCAUGUGAUCAGUCUGUGUUCGCUCAGGAAGCUGAAGGAGACUCUCACCAGGGGUUAGCGUAACCAAGGAAACUGACCUCAGCUGGUGCGAUACAGCUGUGCGGGUCACUGAAUUCUCACACGGGGCCUGGCUGGAGUCUCAUCAGCUGGUCUGCAUUACGUGGCCCGGGGCUGUGAAAAAUCCACACCCCUGAGCCAUGGAGUCCAGCUGCCCUAACUGCAGAGCUACAGGGACCACCUCUCCGGCCGUGGCCUCUCUGCUGAGCAGGGGAGUGGCUGGGGGUGUGUGUAGUAGAUCCCACGUUCUGGGCUGUACCUACCAGGGGAGAGCACAGCAUCCCCACAAGGGGUGUUUCUGUCCUGUACUGGGCACCCCCAUGCUAGCCAGUGCGGUUGAGUCAGCAGGGGUGGGGUGGGGGCAGGAUUAGUAACUUAGACCUGGCAGAGGCCAACAGUAAGUUUCUGCACGCAGGAACAAAGAGAAAAUGGGAUGAAGUGAGUGAGGUGCCAGUGUCUCUGGGAGCAUGGUUCCUUGCUCAGGCUGUACCUAAAGUCACUAACUAGCCCGUUAUUUGCCCAGCAGCUUCAGGUCAGAUGCAGCCGCUGUUUUUUCACUGCUGUGCUGGUUCCUCGCUAGGAGGAGGCUGGCCCUGUUACCCCUUUACUCAGUUUCUCAGGGAAGAGCGGCCUGCUUAGCUCCAGCUGGCAUCUGAGCUCCUUCAGCGCAGUCAGGUGAAUCGGCUCGUGGCUUGUGAUUGGCAGGUCUUUAUAGACCCGUCACGGCUCCACUGGUGCAUGCAGACAUGAGCUAGGCAGGCUGGCUGUUUAUGACUAUUUCUGCUGCUCUGACCCAAAGGGAUGGGUGGGGUGAGACUGGUGGCUAGAACCAGGCUUCUGCUAACUGGAGGCUGAUUGAUGGAUAACUGGCAUUAGUCCUAUCAGCUGGUCUGGCUCUGAUAGCAGGAAGGAGCGAAGCAUGGAACCCAAAAGGAACCAAUCAGAGGUAACGAUGGUUCACUGCCAGCCUCUGACACAGAUUGAGCGGACGUGGAGUGUUUGCCUCUCAAUCCUCCCCUGGCUGGCUUUGCUAGCAGAGUGGGCCUUGCAUGGAGCCCCUGCUCUUGCUGCAUCUGCCUGCUCUCAGGUGUAGCUGCAGUGUUGAUGACCUGGUUCAAGCAAACUCUUGGAGAGACUCUCUAAUCAGGCCUCAGGGUGAUCAUUCCCAUUUAAUUGCUUGCACCUGUCCUCAUGCAGGAUUCCCUAGGUGCUGGACACACUGAGACAGCAAUCACUGUGUCCCCCCAAAAUGCAGCCCCUUCUGGGGUGGAACAUAACAGCCAUUUACCAGCACACAGGGACACUACACAAGCACAAGGAGCAAAGAACAGUGGUGCAGCAGGGAGAAUUCAGGCAGACAGCACGUUGCUACUCACGGAGGCAUUUAGCUGCAACUCAAGGGUUAAUGCAGUUCU
Long non-coding RNA from Mauremys reevesii (Reeves's turtle), 1936 nucleotides. RefSeq lists it as uncharacterized. The record is from RefSeq and is a predicted model, not a curated record. Lineage: Eukaryota; Metazoa; Chordata; Testudines; Geoemydidae. The transcript is spliced from 3 exons.